CUAAUACCGGAUACUGACCCUCGCAGGCAUCUGCGAGGUUCGAAAGCUCCGGCGGUGAAGGAUGAGCCCGCGGCCUAUCAGCUUGUUGGUGAGGUAAUGGCUCACCAAGGCGACGACGGGUAGCCGGCCUGAGAGGGCGACCGGCCACACUGGGACUGAGACACGGCCCAGACUCCUACGGGAGGCAGCAGUGGGGAAUAUUGCACAAUGGGCGAAAGCCUGAUGCAGCGACGCCGCGUGAGGGAUGACGGCCUUCGGGUUGUAAACCUCUUUCAGCAGGGAAGAAGCGAAAGUGACGGUACCUGCAGAAGAAGCGCCGGCUAACUACG
RNAcentral lists this ribosomal RNA (329 nucleotides) under uncultured bacterium. RNAcentral's name for it is "bacterial SSU rRNA". It matches the Rfam family "Bacterial small subunit ribosomal RNA", at positions 163 to 505 of the family's 1533-position model. The record is from RNAcentral.